AGAGUUUGAUCAUGCCUUAGGACGAACGCUGGCGGCGUGCCUAAUACAUGCAAGUCCAGCGGAUUUAUCCUUCGGGAUAAGUUAGCGGCGGACGGGUGAGUAACACGUAGGUAACCUGCCUAUAAGACUGGGAUAACUAUCGGAAACGAUAGCUAAGACCGGAUAACUGGUUUUCUCGCAUGAGAGAAUUAUGAAACACGGAGCAGUCUGUGGCUUAUAGAUGGGCCUGCGGCGCAUUAGCUAGUUGGUAGGGUAACGGCCUACCAAGGCGACGAUGCGUAGCCGACCUGAGAGGGUGAACGGCCACACUGGGACUGAGACACGGCCCAGACUCCUACGGGAGGCAGCAGUAGGGAAUCUUCCGCAAUGGACGCAAGUCUGACGGAGCAACGCCGCGUGAGUGAUGAAGGUUUUCGGAUCGUAAAGCUCUGUUGCCCUAGACGAACAGCAAGAGGAGUAACUGCCUUUUGUGUGACGGUAUAGGAGAAGAAAGCCCCGGCUAACUACGUGCCAGCAGCCGCGGUAAUACGUAGGGGGCAAGCGUUGUCCGGAAUUAUUGGGCGUAAAGCGCGCGCAGGCGGUCAAUUAAGUUGGGUGUUUAAGCCCGGGGCUCAACCCCGGUUCGCAUCCAAAACUGGUUGACUUGAGUGUAGGAGAGGAAAGUGGAAUUCCACGUGUAGCGGUGAAAUGCGUAGAGAUGU
This 701-nucleotide ribosomal RNA is filed under the name uncultured bacterium. RNAcentral's name for it is "bacterial SSU rRNA". It matches the Rfam family "Bacterial small subunit ribosomal RNA", at positions 8 to 699 of the family's 1533-position model. The record is from RNAcentral.